AUGAAAAUCAUCGGAUGGAACUGCCGGGGUUUGGGCAAUGGCCCGGCAGUUCGAAGCCUCCUCGAGAUGGGGAGGGUGGAGGAGCCCGACGUUCUUUUUCUGGCUGAAACAAAGAUGACAGUGGAGGAGUUGGAGAAGUUUAGGUGGAUGUUAGGUAUGGCACAUAUGUUAGCAUGGAGCUCAGAGGGGAGGAGUAGGGGGGUGGCGCUCUUUUGGAGGUGUGAGGUGGAUGUGAAGCUGAGAUCAUUUGGACGGAGACAUAUUGACGUGGAUGUAACUGAGGGAGAUGGCAGAAUCUGGAGACUCACCGGGGUGUACGGCGAAUCUGUUACUGAACGGAAGGGUGAAACUUGGCGGAUGAUGCGGCUUCUAGGACAACAACAUUAG
RNAcentral lists this ribosomal RNA (387 nucleotides) under Triticum aestivum (bread wheat). Its description in RNAcentral is "partial small subunit ribosomal RNA". Lineage: Eukaryota; Viridiplantae; Streptophyta; Magnoliopsida; Poales; Poaceae. The record is from RNAcentral.